Non-coding RNA from Bos taurus (domestic cattle), 46 nucleotides. The record is from Rfam. Lineage: Eukaryota; Metazoa; Chordata; Mammalia; Artiodactyla; Bovidae.
CUAAAGGCCCUUUUCAGGGCCGCCCAAAUGUUCGCUAAAGAGCUGU